Molecule: ribosomal RNA, 860 nt
Filed under: Rhizoctonia sp. PVE18
Lineage: Eukaryota; Fungi; Basidiomycota; Agaricomycetes; Cantharellales; Ceratobasidiaceae
Description: eukaryotic LSU rRNA
Rfam family: 5.8S ribosomal RNA (bases 275-428)
Source: RNAcentral
CUUGGUCAUUUAGAGGAAGUAAAAGUCGUAACAAGGUUUCCGUAGGUGAACCUGCGGAAGGAUCAUUAUUGAAGAAAAUGAAUCUAGAGUCGGUUGUCGCUGGCCCUCCGGGCAUGUGCACGCCUUCUCUUUUUCAUCCACACACACACACACACACCUGUGCAUUUGUGAGACGGGAGGGUCUAUUUUAUUAUGGACCUUUUCGUCUAUUAAAACCCACACAAACUCAUUUAUUUUGAACCGAAUGUAAUUGAUGUAGCACAUCAUUUGAACUAAGUUUCAACAACGGAUCUCUUGGCUCUCGCAUCGAUGAAGAACGCAGCGAAAUGCGAUAAGUAAUGUGAAUUGCAGAAUUCAGUGAAUCAUCGAAUCUUUGAACGCACCUUGCGCCCCUUGGUAUUCCUUGGAGCAUGCCUGUUUGAGUAUCAUGAAAUUCUCAAAGCAAGCCUUUUGUUAAUUCAAUCGGUCUUCUUGCUUUGGACUUGGAGGCUUGCAGAUUUCACACUCUGCUCCUCUUAAAUUCAUUAGCUGGAUCUCGGUGUAUGCUCGGUUCCACUCGGCGUGAUAAGUAAAUCACUCGUCGAGGACACUGUUAAAAAGGUGGCCGGGAAAUGCAGACGAACCGCUUUCAAUGGUCUAUUGAAUUAGACAAUACUCUUAAGAUCUCUGAUCUCAAAUCAGGCAGGACUACCCGCUGAACUUAAGCAUAUCAAUAAGCGGAGGAAAAGAAACUAACAAGGAUUCCCCUAGUAACGGCGAGUGAAGCGGGAAGAGCUCAAAUUUAAAAUCUGGCAGUGUAUUCUGUCCGAGUUGUAGUCUAGAGAAGCAUCAUCCGCGCUGGACCGUGUACAAGUCUCCUG